AAUGUCAGUGAUGCUUCAACCCAAAUAUAUUUUGAGUUUAACGACCAUGAGAAUACUUUACAUGCACUACCAUCUGAGACAUG
This is a small nucleolar RNA of Lampris incognitus (smalleye Pacific opah), 83 nucleotides long. The record is from RefSeq and is a predicted model, not a curated record. Lineage: Eukaryota; Metazoa; Chordata; Actinopteri; Lampriformes; Lampridae.